UUGAGAGUUUGAUCCUGGCUCAGGAUGAACGCUGGCGGCAUGUCUAAGGCAUGCAAGUCGAACGGUCCAUAUGCGAUUACAUCAAGAAUGGAUAGUGGCAAACGGGAGCGGAACACAUUGGUAACCUACCUCGAGCUCGUGAACAACCAUUGGAAACGAUGGCUAAUACACGAUAUGGAUGGGGGGACUUCGGUCAUUCCCAUUGAAAGCUUCGGCGGCACGAGAGGGGCCUAUGUCCUAUCAGCUUGUUGGUGAGGUAAUGGCUCACCAAGGCUACGACGGGUACCGGGCGUGAGAGCGUGGCCCGGCUCACUGGGACUGAGACACUGCCCAGACACCUACGGGUGGCUGCAGUCAAGAAUCUUCCGCAAUGCACGAAAGUGUGACGGAGCAAUGCCGCGUGAUUGAUGAAGGCCUUCGGGUCGUAAAGAUCUUUUAUCAGGGACGAACAAAUGACGGUACCUGAUGAAUAAGAGGUUGCUAACUCUGUGCCAGCAGCAGCGGUAAUACAGAGACCUCGAGCGUUAUCCGGAUUUAUUGGGCGUAAAGGGUCCGUAGGUGGCUUUUUAAGUCAUUCGUUAAAUCUUCAGGCUCAACCUGAAGGCCGCGGGUGAUACUGGAAGGCUAGAGGGUGGGAGAGGCAGAUGGAAUUGCUGGUGUAGCGGUAAAAUGCGUUAAUAUCAGCAAGAACACCAAAGGCGAAAGCAAUCUGCUAGAACACAUCUGACACUGAGGGACGAAAGCGUGGGUAGCGAAUCGGAUUAGAUACCCGAGUAGUCCACGCCGUAAACGAUGAGUGCUAGAUUUUGGGAGUAUCGACCCUCCCAGAGUCGACGAACCUAGUUAACACAUUAAGCACUCCGCCUGGGUAGUACGAGCGCAAGCUUAAAACCUAAAGGAAUAGACGGGGACCCGCACAAGCGGUGGAGCGUGCGGUUUAAUUCGAUGGUAAGCGAGGAACCUUACCUGGGCUUGAAAAACAGCUGCAAGCCACCCGAAAGGGAGGCCUCUUUCGAAGGUGCUGUUUAGGUGCUGCAUGGUUGUCGUCAGCUCGUGGUGUGAACUGUUCCCUUAAGUGGGGUAACGAGCGCAACCCUCGUCCUGUGUUACAAGUGUCGCAGGAUACUGCCCGGGCAACCGGGAGGAAGGUGAGGAUGACGUCAAAUCAGCAUGGCCCUUACGUCCAGGGCGACACGCGCGCUACAAUGGUAGGUACAAUGGGCAGCCAAAGAGCAAUCUGGAGCGAAUCCCAUAAAACCUAUCUCAGUUCGGAUUGAAGUCUGCAACUCGACUUCAUGAAGUUGGAAUCGCUAGUAACGGCCAAUCAGCCACGUGGCCGUGAAUACGUUCUCGGGUCUUGUACUCACCGCCCGUCAAGUCAAGGGAGUUGGUAAUACCCGAACGUCGCCGUAGGGCGGCGGAAGGUAGGACUAAUAACAGGGACUAAGUCGUAACAAGGCACCCGUAGCGGAAGCUGUGGGUGGAUCACCUCCUUUUUA
This 1499-nucleotide ribosomal RNA is filed under the name Patescibacteria group bacterium. Its description in RNAcentral is "bacterial SSU rRNA". It matches the Rfam family "Bacterial small subunit ribosomal RNA". The record is from RNAcentral.